UACGAAGGGGGGCUAGCGUUGCUCGGAAUCACUGGGCGUAAAGGGUGCGUAGGCGGCGCGGUAAGUCGGGUGUGAAAUCUCGGAGCUUAACUCCGAAACUGCAUUCGAUACUGCCGUGCUUGAGGACUGGAGAGGAGACUGGAAUUUACGGUGUAGCGGUGAAAUGCGUAGAUAUCGUAAGGAACACCAGUGGCGAAGGCGACUUACUGGACUGUAACUGACGCUGAGGCAUGAAAGCGUGGGGAGCAAACAGG
RNAcentral lists this ribosomal RNA (254 nucleotides) under uncultured bacterium. Its description in RNAcentral is "partial 16S ribosomal RNA". It matches the Rfam family "Bacterial small subunit ribosomal RNA", at positions 524 to 776 of the family's 1533-position model. The record is from RNAcentral.